UACGUAGGGUGCGAGCGUUAAUCGGAAUUACUGGGCGUAAAGCGUGCGCAGGCGGUUUUGUAAGACAGAUGUGAAAUCCCCGGGCUUAACCUGGGAACUGCAUUUGUGACUGCAAGGCUAGAGUACGGCAGAGGGGGGUAGAAUUCCACGUGUAGCAGUGAAAUGCGUAGAUAUGUGGAGGAAUACCGAUGGCGAAGGCAGCCCCCUGGGUCGAUACUGACGCUCAUGCACGAAAGCGUGGGGAGCAAACAGGAUUAGAUACCCUGGUAGUCCACGCCCUAAACGAUGCCAACUAGGGGUGGGGGGAGGAGACUUCCUUAGUACGGUAGCUAACGCGUGAAGUUGACCGCCGGGGGAGUAGGGUCGCAAGAUUA
This 374-nucleotide ribosomal RNA is filed under the name uncultured prokaryote. RNAcentral's name for it is "bacterial SSU rRNA". It matches the Rfam family "Bacterial small subunit ribosomal RNA", at positions 524 to 896 of the family's 1533-position model. The record is from RNAcentral.